RNAcentral lists this unclassified non-coding RNA (2912 nucleotides) under Leishmania donovani. Its description in RNAcentral is "gene:LdHU3.08.1160(CDS-product:SET_domain_contain ing_protein_putative)". Lineage: Eukaryota; Euglenozoa; Kinetoplastea; Trypanosomatida; Trypanosomatidae. The record is from RNAcentral.
GCGCACCACCACGCUGCUCGCGGUGCGCCUCCUGCUACCCUUUUUAUCGGCUCCCUCACGCCAUCGACCUCCUCUCAACUGCUCCCCACUUCGCUCCCCACUUCCCGCAGAGAUGCAUACAGGCCAUCACUUCUUGUCAUUGUGAGAAUCGACACGGCGCAGACGAAGGGGCAGUAACAGAACGCACACGCACUCUCUCCAUUUUUUAGUUCUUGCCAUUUUAUAGCAGCGUGCACUCUGCCGUUCCAAUGAGCAGCUACGUCCACCCGACACAGGUCUCCAUCGGCGCCGCCCCGCGCAUGGCGGUGCAGGAGACGCACCCGGAUGCGAAGCGCAAGGGUCGCCGAGUCGUGGCAACUAUGGAGCUGAAGCCCGGCAACGCGAUCUUCGCCGCCCCGCCGGACAUAGCCGUGCUCUACUCGCCUUUCGCACGCCACAUCUGCGCCCGGUGCCUUGUCGCCGACGUUCGCGCGUGCGCGGAGCCGCUGAAGGCACAUCACCACCAGCACCAGCACCCACAUCAGCAACCGCAUGCCACACUUUCCCGAUCCCCCGUUGGCGCGUCGUCUUCGCCGCCGUCAUCGUCCUCGUCGACCACCGCACCCGCCGCCGCCGCGGUGCGCCCCUACUGCUGCCCCAACUGCGACCAGUUCGUGCUCUGCGCACCGUGCGUGGCUCAGCUGCUGCUGGACAGCGGCGUGGAUGUGACGAGCUCUGCCGGCACGGACGCGGCCCAAACGGCCGGCCUCCUGCUGCAGCGACGCGGAGAGAGCAAAAGAGGUGGCAGUGUCGUGGAUGAGCGACUCCACCUUCACCCGCUCCUCCGCGCACACGCGAUAUCGUGUGCGUGGUACACCUCCCUCCCCGCCUCCAUCCGUGCACCGGGCAACGAUACUGACUUUCUACGCUUCUGCCUGGACUACGGCGCGCGUGCGUACCUCGGCGACACGGCCAUGAUGCGUGCCCUGGCGACACUCGACACGAACGCGAGCGUGCAGUCGAAGGAGUCGAUGCAGCUGUGUGAAGUUUUUGCGCGUGACCGCGUUGUGGCGACGUUCGGGAAGGAGCCGAAAGCCACCACCACCACCACCACCACCCUCGCCACCGCAGCAUCAGCAAAGUACAUGGGAAGUGAUCCUCUUUCGAAUCAGGCCGGCGCGCACGACUCCGGUGGCAUCCGCCGGGGUGGCAACAGUGAUGGCGUCCGUUGCCGUGGCAGUGCAGCUGUGGCUCCUUUUCCUCCACGCUACCCCAUUUCUUGGACAGACCUGCGCGACACACUCCUGCGCACCCGCUGCAACAGUAUCGGCUUCCCGUACAACACGGAAGAGACGACGGGGUGGUCGCUGCACCAGACGGUGUGCAUGCUGAACCACAGCUGCGUGCCUAACGCGGCUGUCAUCAUGCUGUACGACUCGGCGGACGCCAUGGCAGCGGCGGCGGCACUGGGAGCGCGCACCGGUGCCUCACACACCGCACUGCCGAAGGAGCGCACGCAGGAAGCGGCUCGUCGAAAAGCCAGCGAGCGCAUUGCUGCCUUCCGGGCUGUCGCGACUUCCUCGGAGUCGCCGUACUCCACAUCGUACUCGCCGUCGCUGGCCGGCUGGAUCGGCAUCGAAGCGACUCGACCCAUCGCCGCUGGCGAAGAAAUCACAAUCUCUUACGUGGAUCUUGGCAGCCUUGGCGACGACCUGCAGACGCGCUCGCGACACCUCCUGGAGCAGUACCGCUUCUUGUGCACCUGCGAGCUGUGCAUGCGCCAGCGUUCACAGAAACGGUGACGUGUAGAAGAGGGCGGACGCCUUCGUCACCUCCACGAGAGACGCUGAGAAGGGAAGAGAAGGGGGUUGGCAGGCGGCAGGGGUUCGCAGUACUGUCUCAGUUGUUGCGUGCACAGUGCGGCGCAUGUAUCGCUGCGCUCUACCCCAUUCGACUCCCUCUGCUGCUCUCCCCCUCAGCUCACACAUCCUCGUCUUCUCUGGCUUGCUGGAGGACACGAGCGCAUGUGUAGCCAUGCCUUCCUCAUCACGUCUCGGUGUCAUAGUCGUGUUCGGUGCCGUUCCGCCGGCACAGUGGGAGGGUGCCGAGUGGGCUGGCUGGUUAAGAGGGGUGGGGCUGUGUACGCCUGGUGGUGACGCGCUGCUGAAAACGACAAGGGACAGCGUGGAGGGAGAGAGCGAGAGUGGGAAGGGCAGGCGCCUCCCUCCCUCUCCCUCUAGCCCAAGCAACUAUAACGAAACUGUCGUGACUUAUGGAAAAUAAAGAUGGAUCGGGGACGCACAGGUGCGUACACAUGACUGUGCCAGGAAUGCGUCAUGGGAUAUGCAUGUAUAUCUGGUUGCGUGGUAGUGUGCGCAGGUGCCUCUCAGCGCGGGACCACGUGAGUGCCUGCGCUCGCGAGAGAAGGACUCUACGUCUUCCUCCCCCCAAGGACGGCUAAACCGGAGGCAGGAGGGCGGCGGCGGCCUCCGCAGCCUGCGUGCGCGGGGACCGCAGUCCGCAAGACCGUGCACGAGACUUUGUGCCUAUCCUUAGCGGCGGCGGCACGUCUUCCUCUUCUCCAUUGUCUUUCGAAUGCGUGCCGCCGGCCACUCUCUCUGACAUUCCCUUCAGCGCUCAAAACUCGCGAACCAUGCUUCGCAUCGCAUCACCGCUUGCUCUCGUGUAUUUUCGCCAGCGCCCCUCCUCACCACUUCUUCUCGCUCCCUCCCGUUCUGUCGCUCUUUCUGUCUGUCUUUGCCUCCUUUGGGAUAUCACUGGCUGCUACUGAUUACGCUCGCACGCUCGCUCUCACUCUCCUCACAUAUGUCCUGGCGGCUCGCGACAACAUCGCCCCCUUCCCCUCUCCGCUUUCCUACACGGUCAACUUCUUCCUCUCUCGGCGAUUAUGAUGUGCGUUGCAUGCGGGGAAG